GUAAAUAAUUAAGGGCGUAUGGUGGAUGCCUAGGCUCUCAGAGGCGAAGAAGGACGUGAUAAGCUGCGAAAAGCUCCGUUUAGGUGCAAAUAACCUUUGAUGCGGAGAUCUCCGAAUGGGAUAACCCAAUAUGUUGAAGACAUAUUAUACCGUAAGGUAGGCAAACGCAGGGAACUGAAACAUCUAAGUACCUGCAGGAGAAGAAAACAAACGUGAUUCCCCCAGUAGCGGCGAGCGACCGGGGAAAAGCCCAAACCGUUAUUGUUUCGGCAGUAGCGGGGUAGUAGGACUGCGACAUUGAUGAAAUAAAUGAAAUGGAACACCUUGGAAAAUGUGAUCACAGAGGGUGAUAAUCCCGUACAUGCAAGUUUAUGAAUCAUAGCAGACUCCUGAGUAAGUCGGGACACGUGUAAUCCUGACCGAAUCCGCCGGGACCAUCCGGCAAGGCUAAAUACUCCUGAGAGACCGAUAGUGAACCAGUACCGUGAGGGAAAGGUGAAAAGCACUUCGAACAGAAGAGUGAAAUAGUCCCUGAACCCAUACGCCUACAAGCAGUCGGAGCCGCUUCGUGCGGUGACGGCGUGCCUUUUGCAUAAUGAGCCUACGAGUUACUCAUCACCAGCGAGGUUAAGUACUUCAGGUACGUAAGCCGAAGCGAAAGCGAGUCUGAAUAGGGCGUCAAGUUGGUGGUGGUAGACGCGAAACCUUAGUGAUCUACCCAUGGGCAGGGUGAAGGUUUGGUAACACAAACUGGAGGCCCGAACCGGUAAACGUUGAAAAGUUUUCGGAUGACCUGUGGGUAGGGGUGAAAGGCCAAUCAAACUGGGAAAUAGCUCGUACUCUCCGAAAUGCAUUUAGGUGCAGCCUCUGUUGUUUUGUUCUAGAGGUAGAGCUACUGAUUGGAUGCGAGGGCUUCACCGCCUAUCAAAUCCGGCCAAACUCCGAAUGCUAGAACAUGAAGACAGGGAGUGAGCCAGCGGGUGCUAAGGUCCGUUGACGAAAGAGGGAGAACUCAGACCAUCAGCUAAGGUCCCCAAUUAUAUGCUAAGUUGGAAUUAAAACGGGGUGGGACUGCUUAGACAGCUAGGAUGUUGGCUUGGAAGCAGCCAUUCAUUUAAAGAGUGCGUAACAGCUCACUAGUCGAGCGGUCCUGCAUGGAUAAUACGCGGGCAUAAGCAUAUAACCGAAGCUAUGGGAUUGUAGAUGAUACAAUCGGUAGGAGAGCAUUCCAUUCAGCAUAGAAGCAGUAUCGUGAGGUAUUGUGGAGCGGAUGGAAAAGCAAAUGUAGGCAUAAGUAACGAUAAUGCGGGUGAGAACCCCGCACGCCGAAAGAUCAAGGAUUCCCCGGCAAUGUCAAUCAUCCGGGGGUAAGUCGGAUCCUAAGGGUAAGCCGAGUGGCGAUCCCGAUGGCAAACAGGUUAAUAUUCCUGUACUGAUCAUAACUGCGAUGCAGCGACGCAGAGGUGACACUGCUGCGUACUGACGGAAUAGUACGUUGAAACCCGUAUUCUUUGAUACCGGUAGUGAAGCACGCCGGUAGAGAUGAAAGGUGAUAGUACCGCAAUGCUUCGGUUGCGCGGAUAAUGCAGGUAAGCUGACUGCCAAGAAAACCUGCUAAGCUUCAGGUAAUGAUCAUCCGUACUGUAAACGGACACACGUGAUCAGGUAGAAAAUACUAAGGCGCUCGAGAGAUUCAUGGUUAAGGAACUAGGCAAAAUGGUCCUGUAACUUCGGGAUAAAGGACGCUCUUGUGAAAGAGCCGCAGAUAAUAGGCCCAGGCGACUGUUUACCAAAAACACAUGGCUAUGCUAAUUCGCAAGAAGAUGUAUAUGGCCUGACACCUGCCCGGUGCCGGAAGGUUAAGAGGAGAGCUCAGAGGUAACUCGAAGGUUUGAAUUGAAGCCCCGGUAAACGGCGGCCGUAACUAUAACGGUCCUAAGGUAGCGAAAUUCCUUGUCGGGUAAGUUC
This 1968-nucleotide ribosomal RNA is filed under the name human gut metagenome. RNAcentral's name for it is "bacterial LSU rRNA". It matches the Rfam family "Bacterial large subunit ribosomal RNA", at positions 1 to 1983 of the family's 2925-position model. The record is from RNAcentral.